UACAGGGGGUGCAAACGUUGCUCGGAAUUACUGGGCGUAAAGCGCGCGUAGGCGGUCGAUUAAGUCUGGGGUGAAAGGUUCAGCGCUCAACGCGAACAGUGCCUUGGAUACUGGUUGACUUGAGUUGGGGAGGGGGAAGUGGAAUUCCGGGUGUAGCGGUGAAAUGCGUAGAUAUCCGGAGGAACACCGAUGGCGAAGGCAGCUUCCUGGCCCACAACUGACGCUGAGGUGCGAAAGCGUGGGGAGCGAACAGG
RNAcentral lists this ribosomal RNA (254 nucleotides) under uncultured bacterium. RNAcentral describes it as "partial 16S ribosomal RNA". It matches the Rfam family "Bacterial small subunit ribosomal RNA", at positions 524 to 776 of the family's 1533-position model. The record is from RNAcentral.